UUAAUGUUUUGUAUUGAUUCAGACACAAACUAUUCUGCAUAAAUGCGGCGCCGGAGCGCCGAAGCACGGGUCGCUUCCACUGGUUUGAGCGUCGAGGGCGCGUGGCGCCGUUCGAUAAUGAUCCCUCCGCAGGUUCACCUACGGAGA
Molecule: unclassified non-coding RNA, 147 nt
Filed under: uncultured fungus
Lineage: Eukaryota; Fungi
Description: sequence contains ITS1
Source: RNAcentral